GCGGGUGUAGUUCAGUGGUAGAACACCAGCUUCCCAAGCUGGUAGUGUGGGUUCGAUUCCCAUCACCCGCUCCA
Molecule: transfer RNA, 74 nt
Filed under: Candidatus Omnitrophota bacterium
Lineage: Bacteria; Pseudomonadati; Candidatus Omnitrophota
Description: tRNA-Gly
Rfam family: tRNA
About the family: Transfer RNA (tRNA) molecules are approximately 80 nucleotides in length. Their secondary structure includes four short double-helical elements and three loops (D, anti-codon, and T loops). Further hydrogen bonds mediate the characteristic L-shaped molecular structure. tRNAs have two regions of fundamental functional importance: the anti-codon, which is responsible for specific mRNA codon recognition, and the 3' end, to which the tRNAs corresponding amino acid is attached (by aminoacyl-tRNA synthetases). tRNAs cope with the degeneracy of the genetic code in two manners: having more than one tRNA (with a specific anti-codon) for a particular amino acid; and 'wobble' base-pairing, i.e. permitting non-standard base-pairing at the 3rd anti-codon position.
Source: RNAcentral